This 592-nucleotide ribosomal RNA is filed under the name beta proteobacterium A-O7-18. RNAcentral's name for it is "bacterial SSU rRNA". It matches the Rfam family "Bacterial small subunit ribosomal RNA", at positions 900 to 1496 of the family's 1533-position model. Lineage: Bacteria; Pseudomonadati; Pseudomonadota; Betaproteobacteria. The record is from RNAcentral.
CUCAAAGGAAUUGACGGGGACCCGCACAAGCGGUGGAUGAUGUGGAUUAAUUCGAUGCAACGCGAAAAACCUUACCUACCCUUGACAUGUACGGAAUCCCAGAGAGAUUUGGGAGUGCUCGAAAGAGAACCGUAACACAGGUGCUGCAUGGCUGUCGUCAGCUCGUGUCGUGAGAUGUUGGGUUAAGUCCCGCAACGAGCGCAACCCUUGUCAUUAGUUGCUACGAAAGGGCACUCUAAUGAGACUGCCGGUGACAAACCGGAGGAAGGUGGGGAUGACGUCAAGUCCUCAUGGCCCUUAUGGGUAGGGCUUCACACGUCAUACAAUGGUACAUACAGAGGGCCGCCAACCCGCGAGGGGGAGCUAAUCCCAGAAAGUGUAUCGUAGUCCGGAUUGCAGUCUGCAACUCGACUACAUGAAGUUGGAAUCGCUAGUAAUCGCGGAUCAGCAUGUCGCGGUGAAUACGUUCCCGGGUCUUGUACACACCGCCCGUCACACCAUGGGAGCGGGUUUCACCAGAAGUAGGUAGCCUAACCGUAAGGAGGGCGCUUACCACGGUGGGAUUCGUGACUGGGGUGAAGUCGUAACAAGG